Malania oleifera is the source of this 4093-nucleotide RNA transcript. It is a transcript of the gene named exportin-T, with no coding region annotated. The transcript is spliced from 15 exons. Lineage: Eukaryota; Viridiplantae; Streptophyta; Magnoliopsida; Santalales; Ximeniaceae. The record is from RefSeq and is a predicted model, not a curated record.
CUCCUUCAUCUUCUCUGUAACGCCAGGGGGUCCUUCGCUCCUCUCUAUAAAACUGCGACACUCCAAACCAUUCCUAGAACCAAACGGUAGCAACACAAACCCUAGGGUUUCGUGCUCAACAUAUUCGUAAAUUUAUGAAUAUCAAAACCCUAGUUGUUUCUAAUACCCAUUAAAGAUUGCUAUCGAUCUUCUUCCCUCUCCAUCAAGGUAAGCCUUACAGAUCUCUUAUUAUCUGUCUGUCUCCUUGGCAUUCCAAUUGCAACCCUUUAUUUGUUUUCUCUACUUUGUCCUUCAAUCUGCCCGUCUACGACUCCCGGGGGGCUACUUGGGCUGCAUGCCAAUUCAAGUUCUUUUUGAGCAAUUUUAUUUGGGAUUCUUUCACUAUUCAUGAGCUAGAAAAGUGUGAAAAUUUGAGAGGGAGUUUUAGAAGGGUUUGGAGUUUAUUCUAGGGUUUUUACUGCCAUGGACGAUCUUGAGAAGGCGAUAUUGAUCAGUUUUGAUGAAUCGGGGGCAAUUGAUUCGGAGUUGAAAUCGCAAGCAGUGGCUUUUUGCCAGCAAAUAAAGGAAACCCCGUCAAUCUGUAGCUUGUGCAUUGAGCGCCUGUGCUUUUCUAAACUCGUGCAAGUCCAGUUCUGGUGCUUGCAGAGUCUACAUGAGGCUAUACGUGUGCGAUACUCGUCAAUGAGUUUAGAUGAGAAGUCUUUCGUAAGGAACUCUGUGUUCUCAAUGGCAUGCUUUGAAGGUCUUGAUGAUAAGAACUCUGGUAGACUAUUGGACACUCCGCCAUUUAUCAGGAACAAGCUUGCCCAAGUUUUGGUCACUUUAAUUUACUUUGAAUACCCAAUAAUUUGGUCAUCUAUAUUUACCGAUUUUCUUCCUCAUUUGAGCAAGGGUGCGGCGGUGAUAGAUAUGUUUUGUCGGGUUUUGAAUGCACUGGAUGAUCAAUUGAUUAGUUUGGACUACCCCCGCAGUGCUGAAGAGAUGACAGUUGCCGGCCGAGUUAAGGAUGCAAUGAGGCAUCAGUGCGUAGCUCAGAUAGUUAGAGCAUGGUACGACAUUGUAUCUAUGUAUAGAAAUUCUGAUCCCGAACUCUGUGCUAGUGUCUUGGACACUAUGAGGAGAUACAUUUCUUGGAUUGAUAUUGGGUUAAUUGUGAAUGAUGCUCUUAUGCCUUUACUGUUUGAAUUGAUUUUGGUUGAUGGGUCGUCUGAACAACUUCGAGGUGCAGCAGCAGGCUGUGUUUUGGCUGCAGUUUCUAAGCGCAUGGAUCCUCAAAACAAGCUUCGCCUUUUACAAAGCCUUCAAAUCAGUCGGGUUUUUGGUUUAGUAGGUGGGGAUAAUGAUUCUGAAUUGGUUUCGAGGAUAGCUGCAUUACUUAUUGGAUAUGCUACUGAAGUUCUGGAAUGUUCUAAGCGUUUGACUUCCAAUGACAGUAAGGGAAUUUCAAUUGAACUACUGAAUGAAGCAUUGCCCUCAGUUUUCUAUGUAAUGCAAAAUUGUGAGGUUGAUGUCCAAUUCAGUACUGUGCAAUUCCUCUCCGGUUAUGUUGCAAACAUGAAGAGCCUUUCUCCACUUGGAGAGAAACAGUUGUUUCAUGUGGGCCAGAUAUUGGAAGUGAUUCGUGAACAAAUUCUUUAUGAUCCUAUUUAUCGCAAUAAUAUUGAUUUACUAGAUAAGAUUGGUAGAGAAGAGGAAGAUAGGAUGACAGAGUUGCGGAAGGAUUUAUUUGUAUUGCUUCGUAGCGUGGGUCGUGUAGCUCCUGAUAUUACUCAGAUAUUUAUCAGAAAUUCAUUGGCUAGUGCUGUUGCAUCUAAUUCUGAUAGGAAUGUUGAAGAGGUAGAAGCCGCACUUUCUCUUUUCUAUGCGCUUGGGGAGUCAAUAAGUGAUGAGGCAAUCCGAAGUGGAAGUGGACAAUUGAAAGAAUUGGUGCCAAUGAUUUUGUCAACAAGGUUUCCUUGCCAUUCCAAUAGGCUGGUUGCACUUGUGUAUUUGGAGACAAUAACACGAUAUAUGAAGUUUGUUCAGGAGAAUACCCAAUAUAUACCAAUGGUUUUGGCUGCCUUUCUUGAUGAAAGAGGUAUACACAAUCCAAAUGUCAAUGUGAGUAGGAGAGCAAGUUACCUUUUCAUGAGGGUUGUCAAAUUGCUCAAAGCAAAGCUUGUCCCUUUCAUAGUGACUAUUUUGCAGAGUUUGCAAGACACUGUUGCUCGAUUUACAAGUAUGGAAUGUAUGUCAAAAGAACUCUCAGCAUCUGAAGAUGGCAGUCACAUAUUUGAGGCUAUUGGCUUAUUAAUUGGGAUGGAAGAUGUGCCUCUGGAAAAGCAAUCUGAUUAUCUCUCUUCAUUGCUGACUCCGCUUUGUCAACAGGUUGAGGCUUUGCUUAUAAAUUUUAAAGUGCAAAAUCCAGAAGAAUCUCCUGCCAAAAUUGCAAACAUCCAGCAAAUAAUCAUGGCAAUUAAUGCACUAAGCAAGGGUUUUAGUGAGCGUCUUGUAACUGCUAGUCGCCCUGCAAUAGGUCUUAUGUUCAAGCAGACCUUGGAUGUUCUCCUCCAAAUUCUUGUUGUAUUUCCAAGGAUAGAGUCUCUGAGAAGUAAGGUCACAUCAUUUAUUCAUCGCAUGGUGGACACUUUGGGAGCAUCAGUGUUUCCUUACCUCCCAAAGGCAUUGGAGCAAUUGCUGGCAGAAAGCGAGCCAGUAGAAUUGGUGGGCUUUCUCUUAUUAAUCAAUCAGCUUAUUUGCAAAUUUGGCACUUUGGUGCAUGACAUAUUGGAGGAAAUAUUUCCACUUGUUGCUGGUAGGAUAUUUAAUAUACUCCCAGGAGACGUGGUUUUAUCAGGCCCUGGAAGCAAUACUGAGGAAAUUCGUGAAUUGCAAGAGCUUCAAAAAAUAUCAUGCACAUUUCUUCAUGUCAUAACCACCCAUGAUUUGUCUUCAGUGUUUCUUUCUCCAAGAAGUAGAUGUUACCUGCAUUCUAUGAUGGAAUUGCUGUUGUAUACUGCUUGUAAUCACAAGGAUACUACUGUAAGAAAGGCGUGUGUUCAAAUCUUUAUCAGACUCAUCAAAGAUUGGUGCAACAGACCUUAUGGUGAAGAAAAGGUACCUGGUUUCAGGAGUUUUAUAAUUGAGGCCUUUGCAACCAACUGUUGUUUGUACAGUGUGCUUGACAAGUCCUUCGAGUUUCAUGAUGCAAAUACUCUUAUUUUGUUUGGAGAAAUAGUAAUGGCACAGAAGGUCAUGUAUGAGAAGUUCGGUGAUGAUUUUAUCAUUCAGUUUGUGUCCAAGGGUUUCCCAAAUGCACAUUGCCCUCGAGAGUUGGCAGAACAAUAUUGUCAAAAAUUGCAGGGCAGUGAUCUGAAGGCGUUGAAAUCAUUCUACCAGUUGCUCAUUGAAAAUCUGAGAUUACAACAGAAUGGAAGCCUUGUUUUCAGAUAGCAUUUUCACAGCAUGCUAAUCUGAUCAGAUUGCUAAAUUCUCUUUGCUUUUCUUGUUUUCAUUACUUGUUUCACUCCAUUUUUGUCCCCAAAGGGUUCUUUCUGUACAUAAUAUUUUGUGUGACUAUCCCAUGGACAGUGAGGUGUAAAUUUCCGGAUGUGUUUUUUUUUGAAUGUGAAAUAGUUGGAGUCGUCCAUCAGUUUUGGGGUGUCGAGUAUAUGAUCAUUGUGUUAAAUAAAGCAGCUCUAUGCUCAUUUUUCUGCUGUUCCCUGUUUGAUGUCUAUCCAUUUUUUUCUUUCCGGAUGUGGCUUCAAAAUAAUUUUAAUGGUUGUGCAUCCAUCGGCGAAGGUUCCAGGGUAGUGUGUCUUAUUAACCUUUUUUCUGAUGUUCCCUUUUUAAUGUCUACCUUCUGGAUGUGCCUUCAAAAGUUUCCUGCGGUUGCGAGGAGAUAAAAGCUUUGCCUGUCUUGUAUAUGAAUAGCUUCUUAUGUGGGCUUGGAAUUUCCAUUUAACUUCUUGGUUUAUUAUGCGAUUUUCUUCCCCAGACCGAAGACCUAAAUUAGUCUAAUCCAUAUUUUGGCUGAGGGCAUUUUGUGGAAUGUAAAUUGAGUAUGGAACCAUGGUGCAUUUGUGUUUGGAGAAAUAUAUGCCUUGCAUUCCGG